AUUAUGGCUCAGGAUGAACGCUAGCGGCAGGCUUAACACAUGCAAGUCGAGGGGCAGCGCGAGUAGCAAUACUUGGCGGCGACCGGCGCAAGGGUGCGUAACGCGUGAGCAACAUGCCCGUAUCAGGGGGAUAAUCCAGGGAAACUUGGUCUAAUACCCCAUAGUAAUUUUUGUAAGGCAUCUUAUAAGAUUUAAAGCUUUGGUGGAUACGGAUUGGCUCGCGUGACAUUAGCUGGAUGGUAAGGUAACGGCUUACCAUGGCUAUGAUGUCUAGGGGUUCUGAGAGGAAGGUCCCCCCACACUGGAACUGAGACACGGUCCAGACUCCUACGGGAGGCAGCAGUGAGGAAUAUUGGACAAUGGAUGGAAAUCUGAUCCAGCCAUGCCGCGUGAAGGGAAAGAAGGUCCUAUGGAUUGUAAACUUCUUUUGUAUGGGAGCAAUAAGGCCUACGAGUAGGUUGAUGAGAGUACCAUACGAAUAAGCACCGGCUAACUCCGUGCCAGCCGCAGC
This 511-nucleotide ribosomal RNA is filed under the name uncultured bacterium. RNAcentral's name for it is "bacterial SSU rRNA". It matches the Rfam family "Bacterial small subunit ribosomal RNA", at positions 16 to 518 of the family's 1533-position model. The record is from RNAcentral.